GAAGCAUUUGAAAAGCGCUGCUCACAGACAAGCACACAGUUGCAAGUUUGGCUGCGUUUCCCGAUUGUUUGGUCGUCAGUUUUGCAGAGUUUUACCUGCGAUUCGUUCGUUUUUCACAAGGAACUUCACUCAAGAGCAUAUCGAAGCCGUCCACCGCUUCUCAGUUCCCAGCUGUACUUAUUUUUGGAGAAAAUGGCUUUGAGGACCCGCUCCGCUUCUGCUGCCACGAGCCAGAAUGAGAAUAUUUUGGCCGGCAAAGCCCUCAUGGCCAAGAACAAGAUGGCGACAGGCAGACCACGCGCUGCACUUGCUAACAUUGGCAACAAAGAAGCCAAUACGAAUAUCGGAAA
This is a long non-coding RNA of Branchiostoma floridae (Florida lancelet), 350 nucleotides long. RefSeq lists it as uncharacterized. The transcript is spliced from 2 exons. The record is from RefSeq and is a predicted model, not a curated record. NCBI's taxonomy places the organism in Eukaryota, Metazoa, Chordata, Leptocardii, Amphioxiformes, Branchiostomatidae.